GGGUGCCUACGGGGCGCAGCAGUAGGGAAUCUUCCACAAUGGGCGAAAGCCUGAUGGAGCAACGCCGCGUGGGUGAAGAAGGUCUUCGGAUCGUAAAACCCUGUUGUUAGAGAAGAAAGUGCGUGAGAGUAACUGUUCACGUUUCGACGGUAUCUAACCAGAAAGCCACGGCUAACUACGUGCAAGCAGCCGCGGAAAUACGUAGGUGGCAAGCGUUAUCCGGAUUUAUUGGGCGUAAAGGGAACGCGGGCGGUUUUUUAAGUCUGAUGUGAAAGCCUUCGGCUUGACCGGAG
Molecule: ribosomal RNA, 293 nt
Filed under: uncultured bacterium
Lineage: Bacteria
Description: partial 16S ribosomal RNA
Rfam family: Bacterial small subunit ribosomal RNA
Source: RNAcentral